GAGAGUAUAGCUCAGUCGGUAGAGCACCUCCCUUUUAAGGAGGUUGUCCCGGGUCCGAGCCCCGGUGCUCUCA
RNAcentral lists this transfer RNA (73 nucleotides) under Chthonomonadaceae bacterium. It matches the Rfam family "tRNA". Rfam says of the family: Transfer RNA (tRNA) molecules are approximately 80 nucleotides in length. Their secondary structure includes four short double-helical elements and three loops (D, anti-codon, and T loops). The record is from Rfam by way of RNAcentral. Lineage: Bacteria; Bacillati; Armatimonadota; Chthonomonadia; Chthonomonadales; Chthonomonadaceae.